Cinara cedri is the source of this 1111-nucleotide non-coding RNA. The record is from the annotation of a GenBank genome assembly. NCBI's taxonomy places the organism in Eukaryota, Metazoa, Arthropoda, Insecta, Hemiptera, Aphididae.
CGGUGGAUGGGCCACUACUAACUGUUGUAGGUUAAAAGUUGGGCAGGUAGGAUAUAGAAGGAAAUUUAAAUUAUAUCAGUUGUACGAAACGAUAAAUCAUUAUUGUUAACAAAAAACCGAUUCAGGGCGAAGUUUUUUUUAUACGUGUACGUGCAUUUUCCCAUUUUCCCUACAUUUUGCCCAAUUGUUAUGAAAAUAGCUGGGAAAAUCAAAAAUUACCUCCCUAAAAAGUGCCACCCAGAUAAAAUUUAAUUUCAGAAAAGGUACUACACUUGAAAAUCGGAGUCUGACAGAAAGAUGUCUGGUAGAAAAGCUGUUUACAUAUAAAAAAAAUAAAAUAAACAUCAUUGUAAAACCAAUACAUUCCUCGCUCCGAAUUUAAAAUACGAAAUAUUUCAACGGUUCGAAUAUUUUUUUUUAUCGCGUUUUAGAAGUGUACAAACUAAUAUAUUAUCAUUAUGUGCAUUGAGAGCACGCGUUUUUUCGGUUCACAAAAUAAAAAAACAAUUUUCGACGGUUACGGAUUUAUUCAUUGAUAAAAUCGUAUUUAUCAUCCACACGUCCUGUGCUCGAUAUAUUAUAGAAUUGUAAUCGGCAUAUUUCGACUUUUUGUAUAUUAAAUCCUAUAAUGUAUGCGUAUUCCUAUGCAGUACCUGGUAUUUUAAAUUGUGUAUAAAAUAAUGACUUUUGUGAACAUUAUAUUAGUUGUAUUUUUUUUCAUUUUUAAAGGAUAUCCGUAGAUAUAAUAAAAUUGUAUUGGACGGUCAACGUACAAAGCCUAAAUUUAACGAAAAUAUGUAAUUUUUUUUCAUUACUUCCAUAUACUAGUAUAAAUGUCGAACGAAUAACACAUCAUAAUAAUAUUAUUAUUAUGACUUAAAUUCGUAUGAAACGGUCAUGACCGAUUUUCUCGUUCGAAAACCAGUGACGUUAAAGUACUCUCGUUUUUCUUUCUUUAAACGCUCUAACGCCUUGUUAUUGUCGCCGAUCUUCUGCCUUGCGCCUUUGGUGUCUCGUAAGAUCAGAUUAGGUUAUAGAUUUUUUUUUAGGUUUUCCUUUGCCUCGCCCGAAACCCACCGCGACGACGUUUAGAAAUUCUUCAAGUCGUACC